AAUCUCCAACACAGUGCAAAGAAUACAUUCUGCAUUUGAGUCAAAUUAUGGUCAAUGGGGCUAAUUAAAGGUCAACAGAAGGUUCACUGAAGAGAUCCCAGAGUGCACCAUUCUGUGACAGCUCAGAUAUGUUGGAUUGAACUGAGACGUCUGGUAUUUGGGAUGAGAAAGAUGCAGGAAGGCAACAAACUUGAGAAUUCCUUGAGAAAUACUGCAAGUGCUAUGGCAUGGAGAGUGCAUGCAGCGAGAGCCCCAGAAUGCAGCAUGGGAAGCCACAGCACUUGCACAGUGUGUUCCUAGACACAGUCCUGCCAUGAAUGCAGAGGACUGGCCUAGAUGACUUCUCCAGGUCCCUUCCAGUCCUAUGAUUCUAUUCUACACUGCACCAGCCAGCUAUCCAUCUAGGUAUUUACAUUGCGGUCAUCAUGGUAGAAUCUGAGCACAUGAAAUAAAUUACCAUACAGUACAGCU
This is a long non-coding RNA of Malaclemys terrapin pileata, 471 nucleotides long. RefSeq lists it as uncharacterized. The record is from RefSeq and is a predicted model, not a curated record. The transcript has 3 exons. Lineage: Eukaryota; Metazoa; Chordata; Testudines; Emydidae.